Molecule: ribosomal RNA, 499 nt
Filed under: uncultured bacterium
Lineage: Bacteria
Description: partial 16S ribosomal RNA
Rfam family: Bacterial small subunit ribosomal RNA
Source: RNAcentral
UUGAACGCUGGCGGCAGGCCUAAUACAUGCAAGUCGAGCGGUUGAGAGUAGCUUGCUACUUGAUGCAGCGGCGGACGGGUGAGUAACGCGUGGGAAUCUGCCCAGUAGUGGGGGACAACAGCCGGAAACGGCUGCUAAUACCGCAUACGCCCUACGGGGGAAAGGGGGGGAUCUUCGGACCUCUCGCUAUUGGAUGAGCCCGCGUCGGAUUAGCUAGUUGGUAGGGUAAAGGCCUACCAAGGCUACGAUCCGUAACUGGUCUGAGAGGAUGAUCAGUCACACUGGAACUGAGACCCGGUCCAGACUCCUACGGGAGGCAGCAGUGGGGAAUAUUGGACAAUGGGGGAAACCCUGAUCCAGCCAUGCCGCGUGUGUGAAGAAGGCCUUAGGGUUGUAAAGCACUUUCAGUGGGGAGAAAGGUUUGUCACCUAAUACGUGAUGAAAUUGAUGUUACCCACAGAAGAAGCACCGGCUAACUCCGUGCCAGCCGCCGCCGUAA